GAUGAACGCUGGCGGCGUGCCUAAUACAUGCAAGUCGAGCGAACAGAUGAGGAGCUUGCUCCUCUGACGUUAGCGGCGGAAGGGUGAGUAACACGUGGAUAACCUACCUAUAAGACUGGGAUAACUUCGGGAAACCGGCUCUAAUCCCGGAUAAUCUACUGCACCGCAUUGUUCAAUAGUAAAAGACGGUUUUGCUGUCACUUAUCGCUGGAUCCGCGCCGCAUUAGCUAGUUGGUAAGGUAACGGCUUACCAAGGCAACGAUGCCUAGCCGACGUGAGAGGGUGAUAGGCCACACUGGAACUUGACCAGGGACCUGACUCCUGCGGGAGGCAGCAGUAGGGUAUCUUCCGCAGUGGGGGAAAGCCUGACGGAGCAGCGCCGCGUGAGUGAUGAAGGUGUUCGGAUCGUAAAACUCUGUUAUUAGGGAAGAACAACUGUGUAAGUAACUAUGCACGUCUUGACGGUAACUAAUCAGAAAGCCACGGCUAACUACGUG
Molecule: ribosomal RNA, 497 nt
Filed under: uncultured bacterium
Lineage: Bacteria
Description: partial 16S ribosomal RNA
Rfam family: Bacterial small subunit ribosomal RNA
Source: RNAcentral